GCGAAAGUGGCGGAAUUUGGUAGACGCGCUGGAUUUAGGUUCCAGUGGGGCAACCCGUGAGAGUUCGAGUCUCUCCUUUCGCACCA
RNAcentral lists this transfer RNA (86 nucleotides) under Gammaproteobacteria bacterium. RNAcentral's name for it is "tRNA-Leu". It matches the Rfam family "tRNA". Rfam says of the family: Transfer RNA (tRNA) molecules are approximately 80 nucleotides in length. Their secondary structure includes four short double-helical elements and three loops (D, anti-codon, and T loops). Lineage: Bacteria; Pseudomonadati; Pseudomonadota; Gammaproteobacteria. RNAcentral also lists the same sequence under 1 other name. The record is from RNAcentral.